UGGGGAAUUUUGGACAAUGGGGGCAACCCUGAUCCAGCCAUGCCGCGUGAGUGAAGAAGGCCUUCGGGUUGUAAAGCUCUUUCGGACGGGACGAAAUGGUUACGGUGAAUAACUGUGACUGAUGACGGUACCGUAAUAAGAAGCACCGGCUAACUACGUGCCAGCAGCCGCGGUAAUACGUAGGGUGCGAGCGUUAAUCGGAAUUACUGGGCGUAAAGCGUGCGCAAGCGGUUCGCCAAGUCAGGUGUGAAAUCCCCGGGCUUAACCUGGGAAUUGCGCUUGAAACUAGCGGGCUUGAGUGUGGCAGAGGGGGGUGGAAUUCCACGUGUAGCAGUGAAAUGCGUAGAGAUGUGGAGGAACACCGAUGGCGAAGGCAGCCCCCUGGGUCAACACUGACGCUCAUGCACGAAAGCGUGGGGAGCAAACAGGAUUAGAUACCCUGGUAGUCCCUGAGCGGGCUGGCAAGGCGCAU
RNAcentral lists this ribosomal RNA (472 nucleotides) under uncultured bacterium. RNAcentral describes it as "bacterial SSU rRNA". It matches the Rfam family "Bacterial small subunit ribosomal RNA", at positions 355 to 825 of the family's 1533-position model. The record is from RNAcentral.